UUAAGUUCAGCGGGUAUCCCUACCUGAUCCGAGGUCAAAAGUGAUAAAAAGGCUUAAUGGAUGCUAGUAUUCAAGGGAGUAAGACGCAAAAUGUGCUGCGCUUAAAACCAAAACACUGGCUGCCAAUUGCUUUAAGGCGAGUCCAAACGCAAUGGAGAGGACAAACACCCAACACCAAGCAUAGCUUGAGGGUACAAAUG
This 200-nucleotide unclassified non-coding RNA is filed under the name fungal sp. Its description in RNAcentral is "partial internal transcribed spacer 2". The record is from RNAcentral. Lineage: Eukaryota; Fungi.